UUUGCUAGCAGAAUGUUGAAUGGUUGGCACCAUUUGCAGACUAUCAAAACUCUUGAUUUCCUCCAUUGCAUAUAAUGCCUUCAAACUCGACGAUAAUGGGACUCUACGAGCAGGCAGCAACCCAAGAUGACCUGCAUGUAGGAACAUAUUUAGAAAAGAUUCUAAAACCUUCAAAGGAUAUUUAGUCACCCGAUCAAGCCACACAAGCCUCCCAUGUGUGUUGCUUUCUUCUAUACUGCUGCAGAUCAAUUGAAAUCAGCAACAACAUAAUCCAAUUAAGGCUGAACAGCUCCAAAGUCCAGUCAGCAAUACUCCAAGAGAAGAAUCAUCAAAACAAGUAGAUCUAUAAAAACCAUAUUAUAAUUAUAUGCAGCACUGAGAU
RNAcentral lists this unclassified non-coding RNA (382 nucleotides) under Hevea brasiliensis (rubber tree). The record is from RNAcentral. Lineage: Eukaryota; Viridiplantae; Streptophyta; Magnoliopsida; Malpighiales; Euphorbiaceae.